AGUAAUGGGGAAGUUUUAUACAAAUGAUGAAAUAAUUCAGUGUUAAAAGGAGAAGUGAUUUAAUUAACACACGCGCGCUCCCGACACGUCCCGUCCGUAUUACAGCGCGAGCUUCAUGCGCGCUGAAGAGAGAGAGAGAGUAAGAGAGAGAGAGAGAAGACACGGAAAUCACGGAUAAGAGUUGUGUUUAAGGAUGAAGGUACAGUUUGCUCCGUUAAAUAUCCCAUUGAGGAGACGCUUACAGACGGCUGCCGUGCUGCAGUGGGUCUUCUCCUUCCUCGCGUUUGCUCAAUGCUGUCUGGCAGCCUUUGUGCUGCUCUGUGUCAGUGAUUGGUGGAUUUUGGCCGCUCUGUAUGCUGGUUGGCUAUAUUUAGACAGGGACACGCCCACAAGUGGAGGUCGAAGGUCACAAUGGGUCAGGAACUGGACUGUGUGGAAAUACUUCAGGGAUUAUUUCCCCAUCUCGUUGGUGAAGACAGUGGAUUUGGACCCUAAGUGUAAUUAUCUCUUCGGCUUUCACCCCCAUGGUGUUCUUGUAGCUGGUGCUUUUGGGAAUUUCUGUACAGAAGCUUCACAUUUCUCCGAGCUGUUUCCGGGCCUCAGGCCGUACCUGCUCAUGCUGCCCUUCUGGUUCAGAGUACCGUUCUUCAGAGACUACAUCAUGUGGGGAGGUUUGGUGUCGAGUGAGAAGGCGAGUGUGAGUUAUCUCCUCAGUCAUCCAGGGGGCGGGGCUGCAGCAGUUGUGGCAGUGGGUGGAGCUCCAGAGAGUCUGGAGGCGCGGCCUGGAGCACUGACUCUACAACUGCUACAGAGGAAAGGCUUCAUUAAACUCGCACUAAAACAUGGAGCUGGGUUGGUUCCUGUGUUUUCCUUUGGGGAAAAUGAACUGUUUGAUCAGAUGGAGAACCCUGUAGGCUCCGCCCUCCGCCGGGUUCAGGACCGCCUGCAGAGGGUCAUGGGAGUGGCUUUGCCACUGUUUCACGCUAGAGGAGUUUUUCAGUACAGCUUUGGCUUGUUACCCUAUAGAAGACCUGUAUAUACUGUGGUUGGAAGGCCGAUACGAGUCGAUCUGAAUCCGUGUCCCACUAAAGAGGACAUCGAGUCUCUUCACCAGCGCUACAUGGAGGGUCUAACUCAGCUUUUUGAGGAGAACAAGGAGAAGUACGGCAUCAAUAAAGACAAACACCUUAAAUUUAUCUGAAACAUGCCUGUCUGUCUCUCCAUCUGUCAACCUGUCUGUCUCUCCAUCUGUCUUAUCUGUCUGUCUCUCUGUCUGUCUCUCCAUCCUUCUGUCUGUCUGUCUCUCUGUGUGUGAUGUAAAGUGAUGUGUGUUAUCUGAACCCUUUAAGGUUCUGUAACACGUCAGAGUUUAAUAAAGACUUUUUAAAUUGUUUGAAUUCA
Tachysurus vachellii is the source of this 1401-nucleotide RNA transcript. It is a transcript of the gene named monoacylglycerol O-acyltransferase 3a, with no coding region annotated. The transcript is spliced from 9 exons. Lineage: Eukaryota; Metazoa; Chordata; Actinopteri; Siluriformes; Bagridae. The record is from RefSeq and is a predicted model, not a curated record.